Molecule: long non-coding RNA, 299 nt
Organism: Sinocyclocheilus grahami
Lineage: Eukaryota; Metazoa; Chordata; Actinopteri; Cypriniformes; Cyprinidae
Exons: 3
Source: RefSeq, a predicted model, not a curated record
UUUAAUCCCAUUUGUCAUCAUUGAGAUAAUUGUGUGUGGCUUCAUCUCUUGUAGAGACAUAUAAGGAUUCAGAAAGGUGGCACAUUACCUGAGCUGCAGCAGUGCAACAAGUGUUACAGCAAUUGCCAGCAAUUUUCUGCUUGACCAGCAUGUUUAAGCCAGCCAAACUGGUCAAAUUAAAAAGUCAUCUUCAAAUCCACUUCAACAAGGCAGUUGUCUGUGGAGUACAUCUUGUCUUGGGAGCACCCUUUGAUUUUACAUCUUGUGACAUUCCAAUCAUACGAAGAUGGUGGACUCUU